RNAcentral lists this long non-coding RNA (353 nucleotides) under Rattus norvegicus (Norway rat). RNAcentral describes it as "long non-coding RNA NONRATT016202". Lineage: Eukaryota; Metazoa; Chordata; Mammalia; Rodentia; Muridae. The record is from RNAcentral.
GCAGGAGAAGAUAUUUACUGUCAGAGUAUCAUAUGUGCAUGAGCUAAUUUGGACAUUGGGUGAGCUGAGUCGAGGCAGACCAGGAGUGCAGGCCUGUGGUCCAGGUCAUUUGCUGGUAAGGUGCUCCCGUACCUGCUUUCUGGGUGGGUUCAUUUUGAGGAUAAGGGCAAAAGGCUAUGACCAGGGUAAGGGAAAGAAAGAGCAGGACAGAGGAACAGACUUGGGAGGAAGAGGGGGGCAGGGAGGAAGGGAGCCGGAGACAGAGAAAGGGUAUGACGAAACACAAGAGAGAACCCUUAUCUUCAGCAGGCUAUCAGGAAAGGCCUCAUUCUGAGGAGAGAUGCUCCAAGGGG